RNAcentral lists this ribosomal RNA (479 nucleotides) under Capnocytophaga canimorsus. Its description in RNAcentral is "bacterial SSU rRNA". It matches the Rfam family "Bacterial small subunit ribosomal RNA", at positions 9 to 490 of the family's 1533-position model. Lineage: Bacteria; Pseudomonadati; Bacteroidota; Flavobacteriia; Flavobacteriales; Flavobacteriaceae. The record is from RNAcentral.
GAGUUUGAUUAUGGCUCAGGAUGAACGCUAGCGGCAGGCCUAACACAUGCAAGUCGAGGGGUAGAGUGCUUCGGCACUUGAGACCGGCGCACGGGUGCGUAACACGUGUACAAUCUACCUUUUGCUAAGGGAUAGCCCGAAGAAAUUUGGAUUAAUACCUUAUAGUAUUGUUUGGUGGCAUCACUGAAUAAUUAAAGCUCUGGUGGCAAAAGAUGAGUACGCGUCCCAUUAGCUAGUUGGUGUGGUAACGGCAUACCAAGGCUACGAUGGGUAGGGGUCCUGAGAGGGAGGUCCCCCACACUGGUACUGAGACACGGACCAGACUCCUACGGGAGGCAGCAGUGAGGAAUAUUGGACAAUGGUCGGAAGACUGAUCCAGCCAUGCCGCGUGCAGGAAGACGGCCUUAUGGGUUGUAAACUGCUUUUAUACGGGAAGAAUAAGGUCUACGUGUAGAUUGAUGACGUACUGUAUGAAUAAG